Molecule: non-coding RNA, 738 nt
Organism: Paramuricea clavata
Lineage: Eukaryota; Metazoa; Cnidaria; Anthozoa; Malacalcyonacea; Plexauridae
Source: the annotation of a GenBank genome assembly
CAGAGCCUCGCGUUCCUUCCCGAGGAUCGCAGGCUCGGGGAACGAGAUUGACCUACCAGUCGAAGUGGGUCUCACUUAACUAAAAUCAGGCCUAUCCUUGAAUAUUGUUCUCCAGUGUCGGAUGGUCUGCCACGAUAUCUAAAGGACGAAUUGGAACGUGUGCAAAGGAGGAGUCUACGAAUUAUUGGCCUCCCGCAUUGUUACCUCCCAACUCUCGAAGAGAGAAGAAUUGAAGCCACAUCGAGAGAACUCGAUACUAUAUCUUAGGUAAUCCAAGUCAUAUCUUUUAUCAACGAACUAUGGAACAUAAUAAACAUAACUAUAAUCUUAGGCGUAGAGACGGUACAUUUAAAUACGCACCUUUUUCAGGUACUGGACGACACAGAAAUAGUUUUAUCCCUAACUUUGUUUUUAUUAACUUUUUACUACUUUCCUAGACUUGUAAAUAUCAUCGCAUGCCCGGUUAUGUAGACAUUGUUGUAAAUCCAUUGUAUUUCUAAACUAAAGAUGGAUCAAUAAAAUCAUCAUACAUCGGUAAAAUUCAGUUUUCCUGGACUUUUUUAACUCUUUUGCAUCACAACACAGUUGUGUCGAUCCUGAGCGAUCGACGGCUAUAAAUUUCAUACCUUCGGUUCAGUGCAUGCUAUGAAGACAGAAAUACCACCAAUCGAUUCAGAAAUAAAAGAUAGACUAGUUCCAAACGAUAGUUAUAGUCAUUAUUAACAUUGUAACGAUUUA